RNAcentral lists this long non-coding RNA (435 nucleotides) under Zostera marina. Its description in RNAcentral is "long non-coding RNA (ZMAR_LNC001798)". The record is from RNAcentral. Lineage: Eukaryota; Viridiplantae; Streptophyta; Magnoliopsida; Alismatales; Zosteraceae.
GGUGAAGUACGAUUUAUCGUACGGUUUUCGUCUGUAGGUCCUCGACGUUUUACGCAACCUCCAUCUAUCUAUCUAUUUUGUAUCAAUCAAGUUAACAUUAAUAAAGUAAUCAUCUUUAUCCGAUUAUCAUGGUAUCAGAGCAGUGUUAAAAUCCUACUCCGGAAAUCUCUCCGCGUCAACUCCAAUCUUCAAUCUUCGAUGGCGAUUCCAAUCUUCGAAAAUUUCUUCAACAACGCGUUCGACUAACAACGACGCAACAACAUACAUCUUCGAAUCAAUUCCAAUCUUCGAUUCAACGACGCACGACGCAACACCUACAUGACUGAGAUGGAAAAGAACACGACGAAAUCUGAAAAUUCGUUUUACAAAUCGAAACAGACAUAUGAAUUUGUGCAAUUGGACUGGUGAGACAUGCCUGAUUACACCAGUCACUAC